Molecule: non-coding RNA, 148 nt
Filed under: Gorilla gorilla gorilla (western lowland gorilla)
Lineage: Eukaryota; Metazoa; Chordata; Mammalia; Primates; Hominidae
Source: Rfam by way of RNAcentral
GCUAGGCAUGGUGGUGCGUGCCUGUAGUCCCAGCUACUUGGGAGGCUGAGGUGGGGGAAUCACUUGAACCCGGGAGGCAGAGGUUGCAGUGAGCCGAGAUCGCACAACUACACUCCAGCCUGGGCAACAGAGUGAGACUCCAUCUCAA